RNAcentral lists this ribosomal RNA (349 nucleotides) under Hydrochus aljibensis. Its description in RNAcentral is "partial 12S ribosomal RNA". The record is from RNAcentral. Lineage: Eukaryota; Metazoa; Arthropoda; Insecta; Coleoptera; Hydrochidae.
UUUAAACUUAAAAUUAAAAUAAAGUUAGUAUUAGUUAUGUUCUUGAAAUUUAAAGAUUUUGGCGGUAUUUUAGUCUUUUCAGAGGAACCUGUUCUAUAAUCGAUAAUCCACGAUAAAUAUUACUUAUUUUAUUAGUUUGUAUAUCGUCGUAGUUGAAUAUUUCAUUAGAAUUUAAAUAUUCAAAAUUUAAUAUAAUAAUUUAAAUCAGAUCAAGGUGCAAUUUAUAAAUAAGGAGAAAUGGGUUACAAUAAAUUUAUUUAUAUGGAUAAGUUAAUGAAAAAAAUUUUGAAGGUGGAUUUGAAAGUAAUAAAAUUUAUUUAAAUUUUAUGAUUUUGGCUCUAAAAUAUGU